AACAGGUGCUAAUACCGUAUAACAAUCGAAACCGCAUGGUUUUGAUUUGAAAGGCGCUUUCGGGUGUCGCUGAUGGAUGGACCCGCGGUGCAUUAGCUAGUUGGUGAGGUAACGGCUCACCAAGGCCACGAUGCAUAGCCGACCUGAGAGGGUGAUCGGCCACAUUGGGACUGAGACACGGCCCAAACUCCUACGGGAGGCAGCAGUAGGGAAUCUUCGGCAAUGGACGAAAGUCUGACCGAGCAACGCCGCGUGAGUGAAGAAGGUUUUCGGAUCGUAAAACUCUGUUGUUAGAGAAGAACAAGGAUGAGAGUAACUGUUCAUCCCUUGACGGUAUCUAACCAGAAAGCCACGGCUAACUACGUGCCAGCAGCCGCGGUAAUACGUAGGUGGCAAGCGUUGUCCGGAUUUAUUGGGCGUAAAGCGAGCGCAGGCGGUUUCUUAAGUCUGAUGUGAAAGCCCCCGGCUCAACCGGGGAGGGUCAUUGGAAACUGGGAGACUUGAGUGCAGAAGAGGAGAGUGGAAUUCCAUGUGUAGCGGUGAAAUGCGUAGAUAUAUGGAGGAACACCAGUGGCGAAGGCGGCUCUCUGGUCUGUAACUGACGCUGAGGCUCGAAAGCGUGGGGAGCAAACAGGAUUAGAUACCCUGGUAGUCCACGCCGUAAACGAUGAGUGCUAAGUGUUGGAGGGUUUCCGCCCUUCAGUGCUGCAGCUAACGCAUUAAGCACUCCGCCUGGGGAGUACGACCGCAAGGUUGAAACUCAAAGGAAUUGACGGGGGCCCGCACAAGCGGUGGAGCAUGUGGUUUAAUUCGAAGCAACGCGAAGAACCUUACCAGGUCUUGACAUCCUUUGACCACUCUAGAGAUAGAGCUUCCCCUUCGGGGGCAAAGUGACAGGUGGUGCAUGGUUGUCGUCAGCUCGUGUCGUGAGAUGUUGGGUUAAGUCCCGCAACGAGCGCAACCCUUAUUGUUAGUUGCCAUCAUUCAGUUGGGCACUCUAGCAAGACUGCCGGUGACAAACCGGAGGAAGGUGGGGAUGACGUCAAAUCAUCAUGCCCCUUAUGACCUGGGCUACACACGUGCU
This 1084-nucleotide ribosomal RNA is filed under the name Enterococcus faecium. RNAcentral's name for it is "bacterial SSU rRNA". It matches the Rfam family "Bacterial small subunit ribosomal RNA", at positions 155 to 1226 of the family's 1533-position model. Lineage: Bacteria; Bacillati; Bacillota; Bacilli; Lactobacillales; Enterococcaceae. The record is from RNAcentral.